RNAcentral lists this ribosomal RNA (467 nucleotides) under uncultured bacterium. Its description in RNAcentral is "partial 16S ribosomal RNA". It matches the Rfam family "Bacterial small subunit ribosomal RNA", at positions 28 to 506 of the family's 1533-position model. The record is from RNAcentral.
GACGAACGCUGGCGGCGUGCUUAACACAUGCAAGUCGAACGGAAAGGCCCUGCUUUUGUGGGGUGCUCGAGUGGCGAACGGGUGAGUAACACGUGAGUAACCUGCCCUUGACUUUGGGAUAACUUCAGGAAACUGGGGCUAAUACCGGAUAGGAGCUCCUGCUGCAUGGUGGGGGUUGGAAAGUUUCGGCGGUUGGGGAUGGACUCGCGGCUUAUCAGCUUGUUGGUGGGGUAGUGGCUUACCAAGGCUUUGACGGGUAGCCGGCCUGAGAGGGUGACCGGCCACAUUGGGACUGAGAUACGGCCCAGACUCCUACGGGAGGCAGCAGUGGGGAAUAUUGCACAAUGGGCGGAAGCCUGAUGCAGCAACGCCGCGUGCGGGAUGACGGCCUUCGGGUGGUAAACCGCUUUCGCCCGUGACGAAGCGUGAGUGACGGUAAUGGGUAAAGAAGCACCGGCUAACUACGU